CGGCAACAGCUCAAAUUUGAAAUCUGGCCUCUUGGGGUCCGAGUUGUAAUUUGUAGAGGAUGUUUUGGGUACCGCCCCGGUUUAAAUUUCUUGGAACAGAAUGUCAAAGAGGGUGAGAAUCC
Molecule: ribosomal RNA, 122 nt
Filed under: Cladophialophora sp.
Lineage: Eukaryota; Fungi; Ascomycota; Eurotiomycetes; Chaetothyriales; Herpotrichiellaceae
Description: partial large subunit ribosomal RNA
Source: RNAcentral